Molecule: long non-coding RNA, 1124 nt
Filed under: Homo sapiens (human)
Lineage: Eukaryota; Metazoa; Chordata; Mammalia; Primates; Hominidae
Description: HSALNT0306637
Source: RNAcentral
GGUUGACCUAGUUCAGCCCGCAUAAGGAGGCUUAAAGCUGUGCCUAGGACCCCAGCUCAGGCACCGAACAACAGCUGCCUGGAGCUAUGGGAGGGGCAAUAAAAGGACUGCUGUGGCCACCACAACUGGGACUGCACUGUGUCAGAUCUGAAGCGAGCACAGCCCUGAGUCUCAUCCAGAGCCCAUUAUAACCAUUGCUUGGCCAACAUCUAUGUUUGUUCAAACCUCAGCGCUCUACAGUCAGCAGAUGGCAAAGCCAACAAGGCUUUUCUCUUUCCCUUUAGGGUGGAAAGUUUCCCCCCAGCCCAGAAAUGGGGUUUCACCGUGUUGGCAUGCUGGUCUCAAACUCCUGACCUCAAGUGAUCCACCCGCCUUGGCCUCCCAAAGUGCUGGAAUUACAGGCACAAGCUACUGCGCCCUGCCAGCCACUGCGCCCAGCCUGCCUUGCAAGUUUAAUUGGAAUGCCAGAGCACCUUAGCCUACGGCGGUGAGGCUUGCUGAAACUCAAGUUCCAAACAAGGAGACGGACAAUUUCUCUUUGGCUAGAGGUUCUAAAUGCUCCCUCUGUGGUCAUCAGCUGAGUUCUGCAAAGUGUUGUUUUCCACUGUGACAGGGCAGCAGUGAAUUCCAAUGCAAAGUCCCAUAAUCACUGCACUUCUCCUCCCCCAAGCAUACAGAUUCUCCAUAUCAUGCAGUUCCUGCUAAGGAAUGGAAAAGAUAAUUUCACUGUCCUUUCCCUCUCAUUGGGAGUGAAAUAGAAUUCCUUCCUUUAGUAAUGUUCAGCUUGGCCAUGUGACUCACUUUGGCUAAUAGAAGGUAAUGAUGUUGCUACAAGCAGAGACAUGGCUUGGAUCCUAUUAUGAUCUUACGGUUUACCAGGAGAGGAAUAUAUCCUAGAUUGUCUGAACCUCACAAUGGAACAUGAAGAGACCAUUUGCCUUGUAGGUGCGGGUUCAAGGAAGAUGAGACAAAUAUGGAAUAAGCUUGUAUCCAUUCCUGGAGCCUGGAGCCUGGAGCCUGGGGCCCAGAUACUGAAGCCUUGAGUCUAAUUUAGUCCAGCUGAUUUUCAGCUAACCCUCGCACACAUAAACAUGAGAAUAAAUGAGUUUUCUUUCAACUCAAAA